CGGAGUGGCCCAAGCUGAGCCUGAUGUCCUGGUGGCAGCAUGAGUCUCCUGGACACACAGACUGCACAGACCUGGGUCCCUGGCCCGCCAGACAGCCCGGGUGAACACAGGGUUGUGCUCUUGUCAGGCAGUCUCUGGAGAGCUCCUGUGACUGGCUUGGCUCUGCCUGGCCUGUUGUGUCACUUCACGGAGCUCUGUCCCUUUUCUAAGGCAGUGAACUCAUCACCCAGUUGUGUGCAAAUGUUUAAUCACCAGGGAGAAAGGCUGGGUGCUGGCCCGGGGGCGGGACUGCUGUGUCAGUCUCGGCGGGUGGCAGGCAUGGGGACUGGGGCUGCAGGGUGAGGCAGAGAGGCCGCCCACCCAUGCCAGAGGGGACAGCAGCUCAGUGCUCCUGCUCCCUCUCACGACUUCCCAGGUUUCUUCCUCCAAGCAGGCCCGCCCUCUGCCUGGGGUUCGCCUGGUCACCCUCUCCCAGGCCUGGAUCCAGGCAGUCACAUCCACCGGUCUUUCCUCAAGCUGUCACACUGGCUGUGGCACAGGGACAUCAAGAACUCCUUCCCCGCCCUCAGUUUCCCCACCUGUGGGCAGAGGGCUCAGUGGAGGAAGGUGGGGCUUCCUUCUCCUGUCUAGGCCCUGUGGAUGCUCAUCACCAAGGCCGUUCACAGGCGUCCCUGAAGAAGGACUGGGAUGUUUUAGCAGACACUGGCCCACCAUUUCCCAAAGACUCAUACCCCAGGGAAACCAUCCUGUACCACCAGGCUGACAGCUCUACUGGACAGGAAACAGCCCUCUCCACCCUUUUCGGGAGUGGGAUUUCUCCAGGUGUGGAGCUGUAAGGACCACGAAGAUUUCCUAAAGAAGUACAGCUUGCAGUCAAGUCUUCACACCAGCCACACUCUCCACUGCCAGCCCCUCAGGUCCUGUUACUUUCAGAGGAAGGGGGCAAGAUGGAGGCUCUGCCAGCCUCUUUGAUGUCACAUUGGCGCCACCACGUGGUAAUGUGCAUCAUUGCUGUUUCAAGGUGGGAAAAAUCCUAUGUUCACCCAAACAACUAAAACUGUCUCAGCAGUCCUGGCUGCGGAUUCCAAAUCCCUCUGGAUUCUGAUACCUAGUUCUCCAUCUGUUUGUCCAUCUACUUAAUUAGCACCAUUUAUUUAUAUUUAUCUAUCACUAUGAUCUAUCAUCCAUUUUUAUCUAUUAUCCACGGUCUCUAUUUUUAUUAAUCUAUUUCCUAUCACCUUUUAUCUAUUAUCUGGCAUCUGUCUAUUUUUAUCUCUCUGUCCGUCUAUCAUCUACUUACCCCCAGGUAUAUGGCAGGUAAAAUGUGCUGGGGAUGGUGUGGCAACCACAAAAACUGAAAC
This 1361-nucleotide long non-coding RNA is filed under the name Fukomys damarensis (Damara mole-rat). Its description in RNAcentral is "lncRNA (ENSFDAG00000028067.1)". Lineage: Eukaryota; Metazoa; Chordata; Mammalia; Rodentia; Bathyergidae. The record is from RNAcentral.